RNAcentral lists this ribosomal RNA (493 nucleotides) under uncultured bacterium. Its description in RNAcentral is "bacterial SSU rRNA". It matches the Rfam family "Bacterial small subunit ribosomal RNA", at positions 28 to 507 of the family's 1533-position model. The record is from RNAcentral.
GAUGAACGCUAGCUACAGGCUUAACACAUGCAAGUCGAGGGGAAACGACAUCGAAAGCUUGCUUUUGGUGGGCGUCGACCGGCGCACGGGUGAGUAACGCGUAUCCAACCUGCCCACCACUUGGGGAUAACCUUGCGAAAGUAAGACUAAUACCCAAUGAUAUCCCACGAAGGCAUCCGAAUGGGAUUAAAGAUUUAUCGGUGAUGGAUGGGGAUGCGUCUGAUUAGCUUGUUGGCGGGGUAACGGCCCACCAAGGCGACGAUCAGUAGGGGUUCUGAGAGGAAGGUCCCCCCACAUUGGAACUGAGACACGGUCCAAACUCCUACGGGAGGCAGCAGUGAGGAAUAUUGGUCAAUGGGCGAGAGCCUGAACCAGCCAAGUAGCGUGCAGGAUGACGGCCCUAUGGGUUGUAAACUGCUUUUAUAAGGGAAUAAAGUGAGUCUCGUGAGACUUUUUGCAUGUACCUUAUGAAUAAGGACCGGCUAAUUCCGUG